UUACCGAGUUUACAACUCCCAAACCCCUGUGAACAUACCACUUGUUGCCUCGGCGGAUCAGCCCGCUCCCGGUAAAACGGGACGGCCCGCCAGAGGACCCCUAAACUCUGUUUCUAUAUGUAACUUCUGAGUAAAACCAUAAAUAAAUCAAAACUUUCAACAACGGAUCUCUUGGUUCUGGCAUCGAUGAAGAACGCAGCAAAAUGCGAUAAGUAAUGUGAAUUGCAGAAUUCAGUGAAUCAUCGAAUCUUUGAACGCACAUUGCGCCCGCCAGUAUUCUGGCGGGCAUGCCUGUUCGAGCGUCAUUUCAACCCUCAAGCACAGCUUGGUGUUGGGACUCGCGUUAAUUCGCGUUCCUCAAAUUGAUUGGCGGUCACGUCGAGCUUCCAUAGCGUAGUAGUAAAACCCUCGUUACUGGUAAUCGUCGCGGCCACGCCGUUAAACCCCAACUUCUGAAUGUUGACCUCGGAUCAGGUAGGAAUACCCGCUGAACUUAAGCAUAUCAAUAA
Molecule: ribosomal RNA, 509 nt
Filed under: Fusarium oxysporum
Lineage: Eukaryota; Fungi; Ascomycota; Sordariomycetes; Hypocreales; Nectriaceae
Description: eukaryotic LSU rRNA
Rfam family: 5.8S ribosomal RNA (bases 152-305)
Source: RNAcentral